RNAcentral lists this ribosomal RNA (253 nucleotides) under uncultured bacterium. RNAcentral describes it as "partial 16S ribosomal RNA". It matches the Rfam family "Bacterial small subunit ribosomal RNA", at positions 524 to 776 of the family's 1533-position model. The record is from RNAcentral.
UACGGAGGGUGCGAGCGUUGUCCGGAAUCAUUGGGCGUAAAGGGCGCGUAGGUGGCCCAGUAAGCGUGCGGUGAAAGCUCGGGGCUCAACCCCGAGUCGGCCGUGCGAACUACUGGGCUGGAGCACUGUAGAGGCAGGCGGAAUUCCGGGUGUAGCGGUGGAAUGCGUAGAGAUCCGGAAGAACACCAGUGGCGAAGGCGGCCGACUGGGCCGAAACUGACGCUGAGGAGCGAAAGCGUGGGGAGCGAACAGG